Molecule: long non-coding RNA, 4851 nt
Filed under: Linum usitatissimum (flax)
Lineage: Eukaryota; Viridiplantae; Streptophyta; Magnoliopsida; Malpighiales; Linaceae
Description: long non-coding RNA (LUSI_LNC005670)
Source: RNAcentral
UAUAAGAUAUGAUAAUAGAUAUAUACAAGAUAAAUACAAGAUAAAGACAAGAAUGAAAUUAACGAUAGUUUCAAAUAACACAAUCAAAAUAAUGUCGUAUUAACACACAAUCAAGGUUUCAUCAAUUCCGGAUAGAGGUAGAGGUUAGUUACACAUGCUAAUAAACUUAAAAACAUAGGAAUUGAGAUAAUACAUGAACCUGGAGUUCGAAGAUUCAAGAACCAUCCCCGUCGUAUAAUCCAGCAAUUUCGGCGAUGCCGAACAGAAAAUGCUGGUGAAUUUCUUCACCUUCGGGGCUCCGAAUUGCGUGUGGUUUGAAGUGAAAUGUUCCGAAGUUGAAGGAGGAAGUCUUGGGGCAGAGUAACAAGGCUUGGAGGUCUGAUAUGGUGUGUGUUGUGGUGUGUUUUCGAAGAGGAGUUGAGUUUCCCUUAUACGGGCUCUAAAGUGACGUAUUAAGGCCUCUACCAUGGGCAUACCUACUCCAUCAGCUUUAUGCAAUCUGUAUCUGUUCAGGAGUGAUUGUGGACAGAUUUAUAUGUGCUGGAAGUCCUCCUCCAUGGCUGGUUUUCUUUCAGAGAUCGGUUCAGCGGGAGAUCGUAAAACGACCGUAACUUCUUCAUCUGGAAUCUGAUUUAGCUCCGGUUUGUAUUGCUGGAUUGGUAAUUCAUCCUUUUACAAUUGUGUGACCUGAAAUUUCAUUAAAUCACUAGAAAAAACAUAAAAUAGGAAUGAAGGUCCAAGUGUUGAAUUUACGUAGUUAAUUGCAAUAUAACCAAUUUUCGUCGAAACUUUCAUUUUCAAUUGAUAUUAUGACAUGAAGUUUAGGAUAUUUAGUUUUAAACUUGAUGGUAUAUUUAAUGUGAUUAAAGAAAGCACGGUCCGUGCAAUGGUGAAUGAUGUGUGGUUGCAGGCUUUUCCGAAAGUGGUAUUUCUAAUUUAAUUGCUCUAGAUUCAUAUCACUCAACGAUCUUGUCAGAUACUAGGCCUCAGAUUUUGAGAAGACGAAGGAGGAUGUUUCGGUUUGAGACUAAUUAGUUUGAAGAAAAAUUCCUGAAACUGUUGGUGGAAGGAACUUGGAAGGACCUUGAUGGUCUGGAUUUAAAGGAUCGCCUGGAAGUUCGUGAAAAAGAAAUGGUGCAAUGGGGUAAGGAAAUCUCAUCCCAAUUUCAUGCUAAGAAGCGGGACCUUGAUAAGAAGAUGGAGGAGUUGAGGGAGAGAUCGGAUGAGGAGACCGGCAUGGAAAUGACAAAGUGUAGGAAAGAGAAGUUGAUUCUACUACAACAGGAAGAUGCAUAUUGGAAGCAAAGAGCGAAACAAUAUUGAUUAUAGUUUGACGAUCUUAACAAAAAAUUUUGUCAUGCAGUUGCUAAUGGCAUGGGGAAGAGAAAAACUAUAAUAGGAUUGAAGGUGAUGGAUGGAACAUGACAGGAUGAAUAUUAGGAUAUUCCUGUAAUGGUUAAACAAUAUUUUGAGGGUAUCUUCUAAGGUGACGCAGGAGGUUGGCAAGAAGUAUUAGGGUGUGUACCGUAGAGAGUAACUAAUGACGAUAAUUAAUUAUCUUAGCCCCUUUUACGGAUGAGGAAAUCAAAAGUGUUAUGUUUUCGAUGAACCCAGAUAAAGCCCCCAGGCUAGAUGGUUUUAAUCGAGGUUUCUAUCAGAAAUUUUGACAUAUACUUGGAGGAGAAAUCUUGGCAAAUUGUAGGGCAUGGCUGGAGAGCGAGACGUUACCAAGUUGUGUUCAGGACAUGACCAUUAUCCUGCUUUUGAAGGGCGACAUACCACAUACGAUGAAUGAUUGGUGUAUGAUUUCUCUUAGUAAUGUUCCAUAUCGUUUGGUGGCAAAGGUUUUAGCAAAUCGGAUGCGCGAUCUAAUGCCUAAGGUGGUUUCGGAGGAGCAAUCUCCCUUUGUAUAUGGUAGAUCGAUUGUUGAUAAUAUUUUAAUCGCUUUUGAGACUUUGCAUGGUAUGAAAUUGAGAUACAAGGGUAAAGCAUAUUGAAAGCAUUUGAUCGAGUUAGCUGGGAAUAUCUUGAGGUAGUCUUAUGAAAGCUGGAGAGAUGGAUGCACAUGUUGAUGAUGUGUGGUCUUUCUGUGGUAUACCAUGUGUAACAAAGAGCUGGUGGGACCUAUUCUAGCGGAAUGAGGUUUAAGACAAGGCUGCCCUUUAUCGCCUUUCUUAUUUAUAUUGUGUGUAGAGGGGUUGUCAACACUUUCAUGUUGAGAGAAGGCGAUGGACUGAAUACAUAGCAACCGAGUGUGUAGGAGAGCACCGGCGGUCUCGUAAAUUUGUUUUGCUGAUGGAAGUUUCGGUUUUUGUAGAGCGGAUAUUGAUGAGGUCAGACGCAUGAAGCAUGCUUUUGAAAUAUAUGAACGAGUGUUAGGGCAGUCAAAUAAUUACGAUAAAUCAGGUGUCUUCUUCAGCUCUAAUACUCAUACGUCGCUUCGGGAUGGUGUGCGAAAUAUUUUGGAAAUUCAUGCCACGCUUGAUACUGAAAGGUAUUUGGGAAUGCCAUCUUUGGUGGGACGAAAUAAAGAAAUGAUCUUUGGUUAUUUGAAGGAGCGGGUUUGGAAGAUGCUGCAAGGAUAGCAAAGAAAACCAAUUUAUAAAGGUGGUAAAGAAAUUCUGAUUAAAGCUUGUGCUCAAUCUUAACCAUUUUAUUGUAUGAAUGUGUUUCUAUUACCGGUUAUGUUUACUGGAGGAGAUUGAAAAGAUGAUCAAUAGCCUCUGCUGGGGCACGAAAGGAGCUUGAGGUGGGGGUAUCUCUUGGAUGCGUUGGGAAAUAUUAUGUGUUGGAAGGAGUUUAGAGGGAUAGGGCUUAAGGAUCUAUAUGGUUUUAAUCUGGCGAUGCUCGAUAAACAAGGCUGACAGUUAUUCACAAAGCCUAUGUCGUUGGUAGGAAGGAUUCUCAAAGCUAAAUACUUUCCCAAUGGGGAUUUUUUGUUAGCUCAUGUUGGGUAAAACCUGAGUUUCACAUGGUGUAGUAUUGUGGAAGCUAAGGUGGCCGUUUUACAAGGUUAUUGGUGGAAAGUUGAUGACGGUUUGCGGAUCCGAGUGUGGAAGUAUCCUUGGAUUCGACGGGAUGGAGAUAUGAAGGUCAAGUCGGUCUUGUUGAUUGAUGUCUGACCUGCGUGUUAGUAUGUUGAUCAUGCCAGAUGGAGAAGGCUAGGAUGAGGGGCAAGUGAGGAAUUUUUUACAUCCCACAUACGCAGAUGAUAUCCUGGCGAUGUCGAUGGUAGGUGGAGGUGAAGACAAGGCCAUUUGGCACUAGAAUAAGACUGGUUAAAUACAGUGUCCGCUCUGCCUAUAGGCUGCUUCUGGACAGAUGUGUUAGUAUGGACGACUUAGAAGUCAACAGGCCGUGGAAAUCAUCGUGGGGUUUAAAAAUCCCACCAAAAUUGAAGCUUUUCGUUUGGCGGGCGGUACGAGGAGUGAUGCGAAUAAGAGACAACUUGCAAAAAUGAUAUGUUGAUGUUCCAUGGCAAUGCGGUACGUGUGCUUCUUCUAUUGAAAAUACAUGGCACUUAUUAUUGAAAAGUUAUUUUGCUUGGGCUUGUUCGAAAGAGGCGAGAGUGGUAGACUUAGUAAGUCAAUUGUGUGACCGUUGUGAAGGGUUUGAAGACUGGGUUGGUGUGGUUGUGGUUGAGUUGAAAGAAAAGUAAUGCCAUCUUAUCAUCUCUUUCACAUGGGCUUUAUGGCGAGAGUGGAAUGAGCGUGUUUGGAAAUCCACUUCGCAAGAGGCAGGUAGAGUGGUGAUGCUUGCGGUUGAAGCAGUACAUGCUUAGGAGAUGGCGCAAAGACCCAGCAAUGGAGUUGUUCGCGUGGAACUGACGACUGUAUGUCGGAAAUGACAUCCACUACCUAACCUAUAUCUGAAAUGCAAUGUUGAUGCAACAACAAUCUGAGAGCAUGGAGAAAUAGGGGCGGGGAUAUGCAUGCGUAAUGAGAUGGGUAUGAUGCUGAGAUACCAAAUAAAAAUGAGAAGGGGAGAUCAGAGCGGUAAAGAGAGAGAGGCCUUUGCCUUGAUGAUGGUUUGAGAUGGUGUGUCGAACUCAACCUUGACAGAGUCAUAUGGAAUCAGAUUAACAUGUUAUUGUUCAAGCGAUUAAUACGAAUUCGAUGCAGGAUAGGUUGAAGUUUGGAGACAUUAUCGGGUGUAGUGUGUGAAUUCAUCAAAAAUCUUCCAAAAAUAAACAAUCUCACUCAAAAAAGAAAUUGAUUAAUACAAGAACUCCACAUAAAACAAAACCCAAACCGAUCUGGUUCUAAAACAACAUCAUAUAAGAAAGCAUAAAUCUAGAUCUAAACAACAUUAGAUCUAUAUAGAGAAACACAAAUCUGAAACUAAAACAACAUCAAAUCUAAAAAGAAAAGCACAAAUUUAAUUAAAAUUAGUUUUUACCUUGUAAAGAUCUAUACCAACAUCUUUUUUGUUGUUGUCUCCCUCAAUCUUCAUUGAAAACGUUAAAAAUGUCAAGAAAACUUUCAAAACAUUUGGAAAUUUUGAUUUUCAACCAAAAUUUUCGUUGAAUCGUUUAGAAAAUCAUAUAGAAACAGUAACAAAUCUUCAAUAAAAAGGACGAGUAAGAAUAAAAAAAAUUGAGAUAGAGGAGUUAUGUAUUUUCAAUAGGAAAAAAUUAACGGAAGAAGAGAUUUGAAUGUUAUUUUACCUUUUUCUUAUCUUCUAAUCUUGUCAUGACCAUCAAUUUGAUAAAGAAAAAAAAAUGCCAUGGAGGGAUUUGAAGAAGAAGAAAGCUAUGAAAAAGAGGAGAGACGGCGGAGAAGAGAGAAUGUAAGGAGAGAGAGAUUUUUGAAAAAUGAAAGUUUUGGAAAAUCAAAUAAAAAAAUAGGUAGG